GAUCUCAAAUCAGGUAGGACUACCCGCUGAACUUAAGCAUAUCAAUAAGCGGAGGAAAAGAAACUAACAAGGAUUCCCCUAGUAACUGCGAGUGAAGCGGGAUGAGCUCAAAUUUAAAAUCUGGCGUGCCUCUGGUC
Molecule: ribosomal RNA, 137 nt
Filed under: uncultured Thelephoraceae
Lineage: Eukaryota; Fungi; Basidiomycota; Agaricomycetes; Thelephorales; Thelephoraceae
Description: partial 28S ribsomal RNA
Rfam family: Eukaryotic large subunit ribosomal RNA
Source: RNAcentral